Molecule: non-coding RNA, 30 nt
Filed under: Mus musculus (house mouse)
Lineage: Eukaryota; Metazoa; Chordata; Mammalia; Rodentia; Muridae
Source: RNAcentral
UGUCAGGUGUCAUUGUGGUUCCCAUUGUGU